ACGGUUGUGACGAAAUAGGUAGACGUAGUAUGCUUAGGACAUAUUGAUGAAAAUCAUAAGGGUUCGAGUCCCUUCUUCCGUA
RNAcentral lists this transfer RNA (82 nucleotides) under Pneumocystis oryctolagi. Its description in RNAcentral is "tRNA-Thr". It matches the Rfam family "tRNA". Rfam says of the family: Transfer RNA (tRNA) molecules are approximately 80 nucleotides in length. Lineage: Eukaryota; Fungi; Ascomycota; Pneumocystomycetes; Pneumocystales; Pneumocystaceae. The record is from RNAcentral.